AUUUCUGUUUUCUAUACUGAAACAGUCUUUUAAAUGAUUGCAUUCAUUGAUUAAUUCCUUAUUUUUCUCUUCUAGAAGACCUUCUUUUUCACUCUCAAAACAGCAGCUUUGGAUAUUAAUUACUAUUUGUUCAUUAUCCCCUUUCUUAUGAGCACCAUCUAGUUGCUGUUCAAGCAACAGAUUUUCAUGUUGUAGUUGAGAUAUCCGCUCCUCUAAUAGUCUCGCUUUCCUUUAUUUGAUGCUGUGUUUGGCUUAGGUCCUUUGGCACACAUUUUUUUUUUUUUUUGAGUUAAAAGAUAACAAUUAGUUACUGAACAACUUUCUAAAGCUGGAAUUAAAUUCAAUACCCUAAAAAGUAAACUCCAUGAGACAAGAAGUUCUCACAGAUAAUUUUGUAUUGUUCAGAUGGCCAAAUUAAGUCAUCAAGGCCAUCCCUAAAAUGUGUUCGCUUUUUGACCUUUUGAUGCUUUCUUUGCAGGCCUGUCAUACUUUCUCCUUCCUAGGAAAUUGCUGAUGGUAGGUUUUCGCAUCUUGUCUUUGUUGCAUUGAUCCAUCAUCGUCAGCAGAUGUACUAUUAUAUAGGUUUUCUGAUACCUCUAUUUUUUUUUUUUUUUUUUUUUUUACUUUUGUGCUUCUUCCUCCUUCAACCUGUGGUUAUUUAUUUUCACUUUUCUCAGGCCUUUCUUGUUCUUCCUCUGAAGUCACUUCUAAGUCUUGUUCUGCUCUAGAUGUUUGUACAUCCUUUCUUUUUACUGCAUUCCUCACAACAGACUUUUCCAUUUCAGUGGUAGGCUUCAAGGAAAGAUGUUUUACAGGAGGCCCUUCUCCUUUUACCAUAUUUUUUCUUCUUUUUUAUAUAAAGGUUCAAGUAAAGACUCUGAAGCAGUCUCAGGGUUAUACUACUUGGUAGUAAAAGUCAAGUCUUCAUUAUCUAGUUUACGGCAUGAAUCAACACACAGAUCUUUGAAAUACUUAAUGCAGAUUCGUCAGAACUCCCUGAAUCUUCUACACUUGCUCCUCCUUUUUUCAAACUUGCAUUCUUAGAUGCUUCUGGAUCGUCAUUUUGAAGACCAUUUUCAAGUAUCUUUUUUUAUGUUGCAAAAUUUGUUGUUGAAUGCUAGUCAAAGCACCAGAAAUUGCAUAAUUGUUUGCUGUCUGUACAUACAUAUUUUGAAUAAAGACAGUAAUAUUUUGUUGAAGAAUGCCGACUAUACCUAAUGAGCCAUAAUGUACAGCAGGCAUGAGGACUGUUCCUCCCAACCUAUCAACAGCAUGUACAUUUGCUUGUCACCAAAAAUUCCAGCAUUUGCUGUCUUUUGCAAACUGCAGCAAGUAAACGUGGUGUGUUUCCAUCAUUGUUCAGCACUUCAAUAUCCAUAUCACGGGAAAGUAGUUUUUCUACCAGGAAUGUACUCUCAUUAUAGGACAGCACAGUGGAGAGCAGUGUUGCCGUAGAUAUCCACGUUCCGGCAGAAUGAUGCCACAAAUCUCUUCCUGGCGAUGUACAACCUUCUCAAAGACGUCCCAUUUUGUUUGUCACCAAUGUCAAUGUGGUAUUUUCAGUUCACCAGGAGAGUCCCCACUUCCACAUGGCCAUUGGCACAGGCCAAAUGUACAGCAGCCCUGUCCAUCCACAGCUGAAGGGAUAAAGAAACUGCCAUACAGAUACACACAGAAUAUGCUUCAGUCAUAAAGCUUUAGGAAAUCCUGUCAUCCACAGCCACAUGGAGAAACCCAGAGGACAUUAGGUCCAAGAAAAUGAGCCUGGUGGAGAAAGUCCCACACUGCAUGAUCUCAGGCAUGUGGACUCCUAAAAGCUUUAUCUACUGCCCGUCCACAGAUGAAGGGAUCAAGAAACUCUAAUAUAUAUUCACAAAGAGAUAGUCUUUGGCCAUCAAGAUAAUUAAAGGAUGUCAUCUGGAGGAACACAGACGGCCCGCCGAGGCUGCAGCUGCCUUGUCCUGCACUGUGGAUGGAAGCCACUGUUCUGACAAGAGGCUGAGCUUAGGUGGUAAUGCUUGCUACUGCUGUGCAACCAGGUUCCUGACAGGCCCGGGACGAUACUGGUCCAGGGGUGGGGGACCCCUGCUCCAGAUGACAGCCAGAGUAGUCUUAAAUGACCUUGUGCUGUGCACGAAGGUGGUAUGCAAUCAGAAGACGUCUGAGGAGACAAGUAUGCGUCUCCCACCACAACAUUAUGUGAUGCUUGGAGUAAAAACAGUCAUCCCUGUUCCUACCUACAAUUGUAUUAUUCAAUAAAGAUUGCUGCCAGACAUGGUGGCUCAUACCUGUAGUCCUACCAUUUUGGGAGGCCGAGGCCGGGCAGAUCGCUUGAGACCAGGAUUUGAGACUAGCCUGGACAACAUGUCCUCCUCUGUAUAGCCUUGGAAAACAGAUCGGUGGGAUAGCAGUGAAAGACAUCAUGAUACCAAAUAGAAACAAGGACUUGGAAGACACACUGGACCUCUUAAUUUCCAGGCCACUUGACAGUAGAUACAGUUCCUUACAAAAGAACAUGGCUUGAUAUUGGGAAAAGAGGGUGCUGGAGAUGAGGGAAGAUGAAUUAGCCACCAAGACAGUUCACCUUGCAAUUCAAUCAUUUAGAUCUAAUUGAAGAAUGAUUGCUGCCAUGUUCCAGAACAAGAAUGAAAGCCGUAUUCCACAAUGAAAUGGCGAAUUCAUAUCUUCUGUGUUAGAUUCUAGGAAAAAAGGAAGUAAAAGAAAUACAGAAAGGUCCUUGAUUCACACCUUUCAUCCCUCCCCAUCUGCGCUUUAUUCUUCCUAACUAUAAAUCCCAUGCUGAAAUUCUACUGUACUCAAUAAGCAUAUAAUCAUAUUCAGGA
Long non-coding RNA from Macaca mulatta (Rhesus monkey), 2843 nucleotides. RefSeq lists it as uncharacterized. Lineage: Eukaryota; Metazoa; Chordata; Mammalia; Primates; Cercopithecidae. The record is from RefSeq and is a predicted model, not a curated record.